RNAcentral lists this unclassified non-coding RNA (197 nucleotides) under plant metagenome. Its description in RNAcentral is "partial contains small subunit ribosomal RNA, internal transcribed spacer 1, and 5.8S ribosomal RNA". The record is from RNAcentral.
UCUCCGUUGGUGAACCAGCGGAGGGAUCAUUACCGGGUGCAAACUCAUAACCCUUUGUGAACCUAUAUCUGUUGCUUCGGCGGCUCGCUCUCGGGCGAGCCCGCCGGUAAUAUCAGUAUCUCUGUUUGAACCCGACGAUACUUCUGAGUGUUCUUAGCGAACAGUUAAAACUUUUAACAACGGAUCUCUUGGCUCUA